GAUGAACGCUAGCGGCAGGCUUAAUACAUGCAAGUCGAGGGGUAAGGUCUCUUCGGAGAUACACGACCGGCGAACGGGUGCGUAACGCGUACAUAACCUACCAUCAAGAGGAGAAUAGCCCUGGGAAACUGGGAUUAAUGCUCCAUAGUAUUACGAAGAGGCAUCUUUUUGUAAUUAAAGCUCCGGCGCUUGAUGAUGGAUGUGCGUACCAUUAGGUAGUUGGUAGGGUAACGGCCUACCAAGCCAACGAUGGUUAGCUGGCGUGAGAGCGCGACCAGCCACACGGGCACUGAGACACGGGCCCGACUCCUACGGGAGGCAGCAGUAAGGAAUAUUGGGCAAUGGAGGCAACUCUGACCCAGCCAUGCCGCGUGCAGGAUGACUGCCCUAUGGGUUGUAAACUGCUUUUAUCAGGGAAGAAACCUUGGGAUUUAUCCCGAGCUGACGGUACCUGAAGAAUAAGCACCGGCUAACUCCG
This 478-nucleotide ribosomal RNA is filed under the name uncultured Bacteroidota bacterium. RNAcentral's name for it is "bacterial SSU rRNA". It matches the Rfam family "Bacterial small subunit ribosomal RNA", at positions 28 to 505 of the family's 1533-position model. Lineage: Bacteria; Pseudomonadati; Bacteroidota. The record is from RNAcentral.